UACAGAGGGUGCGAGCGUUGUCCGGAAUCACUGGGCGUAAAGGGCGCGUAGGCGGUUUGAUAAGUCUUGUGUGAAAUCUAUGGGCUCAACCCAUAGUCUGCACAGGAAACUGUCGGGCUUGAGAGUGGGAGAGGUGAGUGGAAUUUCCGGUGUAGCGGUGAAAUGCGUAGAUAUCGGAAGGAACACCUGUGGCGAAAGCGGCUCACUGGACCAUUUCUGACGCUGAUGCACGAAAGCUAGGGGAGCAAACAGG
Molecule: ribosomal RNA, 253 nt
Filed under: uncultured bacterium
Lineage: Bacteria
Description: partial 16S ribosomal RNA
Rfam family: Bacterial small subunit ribosomal RNA
Source: RNAcentral